This 504-nucleotide ribosomal RNA is filed under the name uncultured Sphingobacteriales bacterium. RNAcentral describes it as "bacterial SSU rRNA". It matches the Rfam family "Bacterial small subunit ribosomal RNA", at positions 903 to 1382 of the family's 1533-position model. Lineage: Bacteria; Pseudomonadati; Bacteroidota; Sphingobacteriia; Sphingobacteriales. The record is from RNAcentral.
UGCGCCUUGCCAGCCCGCUCAGAAACUUAAAGGAAUUGACGGGGGCCCGCACAAGCGGUGGAGCAUGUGGUUAAUUCGAUGAUACGCGAGGAACCUUACCUGGGCUCAAAUGUAUGUUGACGUAUUCUGAAAGGGAUACUUCUUCGGACAAUAUACAAGGUGCUGCAUGGUUGUCGUCAGCUCGUGCCGUGAGGUGUCGGGUUAAGUCCCAUAACGAGCGCAACCCCUACCUUUAGUUGCCAUCAGGUUAAGCUGGGGACUCUAAAGGAACUGCCUACGCAAGUAGUGAGGAAGGCGGGGAUGACGUCAAAUCAGCACGGCCCUUACGUCCAGGGCUACACACGUGCUACAAUGGCCGAUACAGAGGGCAGCUACCUGGUGACAGGAUGCAAAUCUCCAAAGUCGGUCUCAGUUCGGAUCGGAGUCUGCAACCCGACUCCGUGAAGUUGGAUUCGCUAGUAAUCGCGCAUCAGCCAUGGCGCGGUGAAUACGUUCCCGGGCCUU